UAUACAAAGGUAUUGAAAUAAGAUUUUAAAUGAGUGCUAAGAGRAUGAUUGAACAAUUAUAGGCUUUCUUUAGUUAAAUAAUUAAAUUUAAUUUUUUUAGUGCAAAAGCAAAAAUUAAAUUUAGGGACAAGAAGACCCUAUGAAUUUUAAUUUAAUUUAUAAUUUGAAAUUUUAAAUUAAAUUUGAUUGGGGCGAUGGAAAAAGAAUGAGUAUCUUUUUUAGUUYUAAAAAUUGGYUCCGYUUUWAACGAUUAAAUGAGAAAAAUACUCUAGGG
This 274-nucleotide ribosomal RNA is filed under the name Ixodes persulcatus (taiga tick). RNAcentral describes it as "partial large subunit ribosomal RNA". The record is from RNAcentral. Lineage: Eukaryota; Metazoa; Arthropoda; Arachnida; Ixodida; Ixodidae.